Molecule: long non-coding RNA, 649 nt
Filed under: Cairina moschata (Muscovy duck)
Lineage: Eukaryota; Metazoa; Chordata; Aves; Anseriformes; Anatidae
Description: domestica (muscovy Duck (domestic type)) lncRNA (ENSCMMG00000003879.1)
Source: RNAcentral
CACAGGAACAUUCCUAGAAAUACAAGAGAACCAAAAAACUGUUUUCAAACUUCUAUUGGAAGUAACAAGAGAUGGAGAAGAAACUACAGAACGGCAGCACAUGCCGAGCCUGCAGGAAGGAAAGAUCACUUGCCUCUAGCUGUUGAAUGGCAUUAAGGUGUCACAAUGCCUGGGCCAAAUGCAAAAUUUUCUCCAGCUGAGAUGAGUUUAAUUGAGGAUCAUCCUCCUGAACCCUCUUUGGAGAUUCUGAAAUUGUGCACUUCUAUACACAGGCAAUAUAAGGUCAGACAGCACAAAAGUUGUUUGCUUGCUUGCUUGUUUGUUUGUAUACUGCUUGUUCUAGGCAUCUAACAAAAACUGGAUGUUAUUUUAUUCAAUAUUGAGUUACCUGAUCAGAGUAUCCUGUCAGUCUGAAAAGGAAAAUGAAUGGUAGCAGUACCUUCAGUUUCAGCCUCUUCCUUGAUGCACCCCAAAGAUUCCCCACAGAAUACCUGCGGUAACUACUUUAAUAACAUUUCUGGCUAAUCUGUUAGUGAGAUGGGCAGGGAUCACCAUCAUACAGGUUCUGGGAGAGAAUGCAGUGAAGCCAGUUUUGCGUGUCUUCUGUUUGAAGCUGAUGGAAUAUAGAUAAUCAAAUUUUGCUCUGUUU